AUACGGAGGGUGCAAGCGUUAUCCGGAAUCAUUGGGUUUAAAGGGUCCGUAGGCGGGCUAAUAAUUCAGGGGUGAAAUCCCACAGCUUAACUGUGGAACUGCCCUUGAUACUGUUGGUCUUGAGUUACAGUGAAGUGGUUAGAAUGUGUAGUGUAGCGGUGAAAUGCAUAGAGAUUACACAGAAUACCGAUUGCGAAGGCAGAUCACUAACUGUAUACUGACGCUACUGGACGAAAGCGUGGGGAGCGAACAGGAUUAGAAACCCCAGUAGUCC
This 274-nucleotide ribosomal RNA is filed under the name uncultured bacterium. RNAcentral's name for it is "partial 16S ribosomal RNA". It matches the Rfam family "Bacterial small subunit ribosomal RNA", at positions 523 to 796 of the family's 1533-position model. The record is from RNAcentral.